UCCGGUUCCGCCAUUUGAAAAAAAACGUUCGUAACUGCUCAGCUGAACCCGAAGCUUGAUGAAGAAGGCCGUCAAUAUUUCAACAAAAACUAACAGAAUAUGGAUCAGAUUCGGACAACGACUUCUUAAGACAUUCACACAACAGGCUAAACAAUUCAAAGAGGGAUCUCUGGAUGAUCGAGCAGCAAGUCCAGCAUUAUGUGGGAAAGAUACUACAGGUGUACACAGAAAAGGCCAUGUUCUUGUACAAGACACGGUUGGAGUUCAUAAAAGAUUAAGCUGCCUCGUGCUAUACAGACUUGGAUAAAAACAAGCUGUCCAAUGAAUGGUGACUACUCAAGAGGAGCCAGAAAGUCAACUAAAGCCAGGGUAUUUUGGGAGUUGAUAUGGCGGGGGGAGGGGGGGUUUCCAGGGCCCCCCCCCCCUUCCUUGAGAUCUUGACCGCACAAUCGCGUCUAACAUUGGCACAUGGGUUGUCUAGGGCAUAAUUUACAAAAUUAAAUUGUAAAUUAUUUCACGCAAAUUGUUAGUAAGUGAUAAUACUAAUUUAUGCGUAAUUAGAAUACAAAAUCAUACUUUUUCCUCUAUUGCAUUGACUUUGUACACAAAAUCACGUUUUUGAGCAAUUUUUGGUAUGACAUGUACUUACAUAAUGUCACGUUAUUACAGAACCACGUACCGGGUGACACAAGAUUGGUCUCAAAAGAUGCACAAGACUAGAAAGAGGCAUGUUUUAAAAAAAUUGUGCGACAGCAUGGUCGCAAAAUUUUUGGAAGGGGGGGGGGUCAAAUUGGUCCAAUUUAACUAAGGGUUAAUAACUGGGAGGCUGCAUUAGCUGCCUUUUUACUUUCAAGUCUUGCACAUCUUUUGAGACCAAAUUUGUGAUGCCUGGGUACGCUGUUCCGAAAUUUCGCAACAUUUUUAUGUAUUAAUCCAACACAAAUACUGUUUCUUGCUAAAAAUUCACAAUUAGUAUACCAGUAAUAUACAUUUAUCAAGUCAAAUUAUUUAAUUACAUUUAUAAUCAUAAAAGCUUUGAUAAAGUAUAAAAAAAAAACAAAGAGUUGUAUGUAGGCCUGGGACUUUCGGGUUUUUUCUCUUCGGGUACCCGUGGUAAUUUUCGGGUGGGUACCUGAAAAUCAUGUCACUUGAAAUAUGACUGGUGGAAAAACCCCAUAGGUGACGUCAUCAAGCCAAUGCGAUGCAAGCCAAUUUAUGAAUGAAAAUAUAGUAAGCAUGCGCAUUGCAAGCCUCCCGUGCCCCACGCAGUAUUCCAUCGAAACAAGUUUCAAUACUCUGUCACCUCGUACCAAAAUCGACCUAGAAUUCCACUUUCCUAUAUAUCAUAUGAAUUAUAAAAGGUUUUCUCACCGAUACUGCACAGGUAAGCAAAUUUUUAUUCUUGCUUUUCCGUCAAAAUCUUACGAAGUAGCAUCGAUAUUACAUCGUGUUCGUGAGUUUGUAUCGCUACGUGAACAAAGUCAAUUGAUUUCCGGGUUUCAGAGCGUCAAAUGCGCCAGCCAAUCACGAUCGUGUUCCCAUUUUCGGUUUAUGAUGAACUAAAAAUGGUAACAAGAACGUGAUUGGCUGGUGCUUCGUAGGUCGAUUUUGGUAUGAGGUGACAGAGUAUUGCAGACUUGUUUUGACGUAAUACUGCGUGGGGCUGAGGCUUGCAAUGCGCAUGCUUACUAUAUUUUCAUUCAUAAAUUGGUUUGCGUCGCAGUGGCUGGAUGACGUCACUGCGCUGCAAAAGAAACAUGGCGAUGAUUGAACGAUCUCGGUCACAUCAUCAUCACUUGAAAACUUGUAUAUUUAUGGAUAUUUAGAGGGUAAUUGGUGAAAUUCAAAAUGAGGCUUGUGUACUUUUGUAAUGAGUUACAAUCAUGUCUUACACUACGCAAUACAAAUCAAAUACAUGUACAUUAUACUGGUGAGCAAUUUUCGGGUAUCGGGUAUUGAUUUUUCUACUCGGGUACCCGGGUUUUAGUCCCAGCCCUAGUUGUAUGAAAAUUUUCAAAAAUAAUGAAAGGUAAAAGAAAACAAGAUUACAAUGUCCAUUGCAAGGGGGCUAGUCUAGCUAUUCAGGAUAAUUGGGAUUUUAUUCAGUUUUUAAUUGACAUAACAUUAUGACAAGAUCCCUCCAUUUAGUGUAUAAACAGCACAUGGCCAUGAUUGAAAUUCAUAUAACAUUAAAGUAUGCAAACCAGGCAGCUACAUGUACAUGUAGGACUCACUGCUUGUCAAUUCUAUUGUCUGCCAGGGUCAAGUGACAUACAGUGCACAUGUAUAACAUACAUGUGUGAAAGUACAUAAGAAAAUCAGCUUUUUAUUUUUGUACUGUAACAUUGGGUGAACUGGUGAUCACUUUGGAUAUGAUGCUCUUCAUAUUGGUUUAUUUUAUGUAUAUGAAUUUUUGGAUAAUCAUUAAGAAUUAAAGCCAUUUACUUAAUAUAUGGAAGCAUAAGCCCAUCAAAGAACAGAAUUAUGUCAUGUACAGCUAAUUCAUUUUGCGUGAUAUUACAAUUGUAAUUGUUUACUUGAGCAAGUAAUUUGAAUUGCUGCAUGACCUAAACAAUGACAUGUUCCAAUUCGAAUAGUAACAUGACCUAAAGAAGAGUUACUCCACCUCGAUUGAGAGUGCUUAUGUUAAAUAAUUGAUGUUGCUACUUCAAAUAAUUGAGGUCAAUCAAAUUGGUCAUAAUUAUUCAAGUCAAUUUUGAGCUAUAUGUCAUAAUUAAUUAGGUCAUAUACUAAUUGAAAUUACUAAAUGACUCGAGUAGGUAUGAAUUCACAUUGCCACAUGACCUUAAUUAUUUUAUGUAGCAACAUCAAGUAUUGAACGUCAUUUAGUUAUCAAUUAUGACAUGUAGCAAAUCAAAUUACAUGCCGCAAUUUCGUGUUUAUGAUGGGCUCAUGCUUACAUUCAUAUAUAACCCUUCAAUACGUAGUUGGAGCAAUUCUUAGACAAGAAGACUGUGUAAAAUGAUAUGCCUAUUCAAUGUCAAAAAGGUUAAUGUCUCAAUAGAUUUGAUCUACGUUUUGGCAAAGUAAUCUUAUGUUCAUAUUUUUUCUAACCUAUGGUGAACGUUCUAAAUCAUGUGAAAUUCAUUCAAAAAUAUCUUUCAGUAUUUAUGGACUUAAGUGAAUUCUGAGCAAAAUGAAGUGAUUAUGAUUACGUUCAUGUACUUUAAGUUUAUACUGGUGAUCAACACAUCAUAAUUUCAUCCCUUACUGUAUGUGCACCAUGCAUUAUCUGUACAUGCAGAAGUGGUUAUCCAUUGUUUCAUAACAUGGUUGAGUAAAGGAUGUUCUGCUUUUAGUAUUAAGCCAAUCGGGUGUUGACAAGAAGGGGAAAAUGCAAUUGCUCAGCUAUUACAGUUUUUUUUGCAACCAUAAUACUGGUUAAGCCUUGGUUACAUUCGCCGGCUCGUGGCCUUACGUCGAGUCAAAAUUAACAGUCUUAAUCAUCCUUGUACCAGCUACUACCAGCUACACGUGGGUGGUUUGUACAGGAAUACCUAAAACUGCUGAUUUUGUCUCGCCGUAAGGCAACCGGUCAAGGAAUGUGACCAAGGUAUUAAUAAUAAUCGCUUAUUGUUGUGUUAGAGGGAAGGAUUCUGGGUCGAAUCUAGCUUUCUUUAUGUGAUCUCAAAAUGGCAGCAAUGUAUGAAUAGUGAAAGUAGUUCAUGUGGCAUCUCAAUGUUCAUGGAUAUAAAUCUUUGUACAUGUCUUAUCCUAAAGAUGAAAUGUUACUGCAUUAUUCUAGCAGUCAUUUAUGAUAUCAAAGAUGUUCUAUACUGUGCAUAGUACAGCUCAUACAUAAUAAAGGUAUGUGAAUAUGCUUUUAACGUCUUUGCAAAUUUGUGGGUUUUUUCACGCCUCUUUUCAUUAGUCAAGAUGUCAAAGUUGUUGUGCUGGAUCACAGGAAAUUCUUACAAACUACUACGCCUAACAAACCAGUGCAGGACGGUGUCGUGAGAAAAUCGCACAGACUACUACAGGACAAUACCAUAGGAUUGUCACAGGAAAUCAACAAGAAUACCCCUGCAGGUUUACCACAGUAAAGUAUCACAAGAAGGCUGCAGGAUGAGACCAAUAAUGCCACAGAAGAUAUCAAAGAUCAGUAUCACAGGAAUACCACAGGACAGUACUGCAGGAAUUGUCCUGCGGUAAGGUCUCUUGGUAUUCCUGCAGUACUGUCCUGUAGUACUGUUCUGUAGUACUUUCCUGUGAUACUGGUCUGCGGAAUUCCUAAAGUACUGUCCUGUCAUACUGUCCUGUGAUACUAUUUAUCACCACAGGAUAGUAUCACAGGACAGUACUACAGGAAUACCAGACCAGUAUCACAGGACAGUACUACAGGAAUACGAGACCAGUAUCACAGGACAGUACUACAGGAAUACCAGACCAGUAUCACAGGACAGUACUACAGGAAUACCAGACCAGUAUCACAGGACAGUACUACAGGAAUACCAGACCAGUAUCACAGGACAGUACUACAGGACACAGUACCAGAAGCCUGCGGUACUCCUGUAGUACUGUCCUGCGAUACUGUUCUGUAGUACUUCCCUGUGAUACUGGUCUGCGGUAUUCCUGUAGUACUGUCCUGUCAUACUGUCCUGUCAUACUAUCCUGUCAUACUGUCCUGUCAUACUAUCAUGUGAUACUAUCCUGUGAUACUAUCCUGUGAUACUGUCCUGUAGUACUAAUAGUAGUGUGGUAGUGGUUGUAGCGGUUGUAGCGGUUGUGGUGAUCGUGUCCUGUCAUACUUCCUGCCAUACUUAUGCGGUUAUUACCACAGGAAGUAUCACAGGACACGGACCUGUUGUACUCCUGUUGUACAUUUCUGUAGUACCGUCCCAAAUUACGUGCACGUAAUUCCUGCAGUACUUUCCUGCGAUACUUCCUGCAGUACAUAUCACAGAGUACUACAGGAAUUUUUUGUAAGGGCACCCACUCGUUGUAGCGGGGAGUCCGUUGCCAAAUAAAUAAAAGAAAAAAAAAAAAAAAAUUUUUGAGAGAGUGUGGGGUGACUGUGUAUGUGAAUAAGUACAUGUAAUUUGUCUGUGGUGUGAGCGGGCACUAGUCACUAGCGUGAUUGAGGACAGAACCAGCUUCGAGGAUUAAUAAAAUAAAUAGCCUAGGUAAAUUAAUAAAAGACAAGUUAGGCUUAACGUUAGAGGUUAAUAUAAAUAUUUUUAGAGCUACAAUUAUUCUUUUUGGCAGUGAUAGUGCAAACUAUUAGCCACAACCGGACUAAACUAAUCUAAUUAAUAAUAAAAGCUAGAAUUUUAUACCAUAAAUUGGGUUUGCAUUUGGACCUAAUUUUUUGGGAUAGCUUUUUUGGAUAACUUUAGCAGGUUUUUGGUCGGGCUUAUCGCUGUGCCUAACCAUUGACUGUUAAAGGUAUAUUUUUGGACUUUUACCGGUUUUAUAAUUUUAGUUGCUAAAAAUAAAAGAAUUGUUAUAAAAUAAAUUGGGUCUGCAUUUGGACCUAAUUUUUUGGGAUAGCUUUUUUGGAUAACUUUAGCAGGUUUUUUGGUCGGGCUAAUUACUGUGCCUAACCAUUGACUGUUAAAGGUAUAUUUUUGGACGGUUUUAUAAUUCCAGUUGCUAAAAAAUAAAAGAAUUUAUUGGGACCACUUUUGGAUAAAUCUAAGUAGGUUUUUGGUCGGGCUUAUUAUUGUGCCUAACCAUAAACUGAUUGGGGUAUACAUUUGGAUCUUUUUGUAAUCUAAUUGCUAAAAGAAAAUACUAGGAAGAAUUUAAUAAAUAACUUGGGUUUGCACUUGGACCUAAUUUAUUGGGAUAGCUUUUGAAUAACUCUAGUAGGUUUUUUGGUUGGGCUUAUCACUGGGCCUAACCAUAAACUGAUUAGGGUAUACUUUUGGACUUUUUUACAGGUUUUUGCAAUUUUAAUUGCUAAAAGAAAAUACUAGAAAGAAUUUAAUAAAUAAAUUGGGUUUGCAUUUAGACCUAGUUUUUGGAUAACUUUUGGAUAAUUUUAACAGGGGUUUGGUUGGGCUCAGUAUUGGGCCUAACUGAACCUUGCUAGGAUAACACCAAUUAGGGUAAGCACAACAUGGACGGGGAAGAGAAAAUCCCCAUUAAUGUGUGCUCCUUUGAGGAGUUUAGGUUGCUAGGGCUAAGUCCAGCUCUAGCAGGGAUAAUCCAGGGGAUUAGACUUGAUCAUGGGGAGAUAACCCCCGAGCUUUUCGAAAGCAGCCCAGCGCUAUGCAGCAAUAGGGAGCUAGCACAAAGAGUAGACUUUUCGGGGGGCACCCAGGGGGUAGAGGGCAGUAUUUUUAUUACCCCUAGGGGGCGCAUCACUGCGGGCACCCGUAGCGAGUCUGACCUGAAUGGGGUGGCAGGUUCCAGGGGUGUUUACCCCUAUGACCAACACCAGCCCCCUAGGUCAAGUCAAAGUAACCAGUCUAGUGGGUCCUGGGGCACCAGCUCAUCUCACUUCCGGGAGGAGCGGGGGCAUGAGCCCCCAAGCACCAGAGGGGGAGAUAUGGGGAGUGGUGUAGAGCCUAGGUUUAGGCUCAGGAAUCUAGUUGGCGAGGAGGCUAAUGGUGCCUCUGUCAAUAGAUUUAUGCAGGCGAGUGGCGAUUCAAGCGAAUGGUCUGGGGGCGAUGACCCCACCACCAAGCAAGCGGUAGCCAUGAGGUCCAAGGUAGGUGAAGGAAGGGGCUCCUUGGCCCCACCCCCUACCCCAGAUUACAGCGCAAGGAAUGUGCGGGCGGGUAUGACACGCCCAGCCCAGUACAGUUCAUCUUCGCCGCUUAGUAGCCCGGCUGCAUCACCUGCGAAUUCUAGUGGUUCCUCAGGAAGGGGGACUGGUGGUGGAUUACCAUAUUACACGCUGCCAAAGUCCCUCACUUUCAACGGCAAGGGUAACUGGAGGGCUUUCUUCAGAAAGUUCUCCGCCUUUGCUGAUCACCAUAAUUGGACUGCAAUGGAGCGCGUAAGCCAGCUAUACUGGGGCCUGAAAGGGAAGGCUGAAGAUUAUUUGCUAAUGGUCUUGGACCAAGAGCCAAAUAUGCCAUAUGCAGGUCUAGUGGCCCGGCUGCAGCACAGGUUCGGGGAGGAAGGGCUCUCUGAAUCUGCUCAGCUGGAGUUUGUGGCAGCCAAGCAGGGACCCACUGAAUCCCUGCCAGACUGGGCAGACCGGGUGCUCCAGCUAGCAGCGCGUGCUUUUCCAGGGGUCAAUGGGUCCUACCCGAAUAGACAGGCGGUCCUUCGCCUGUGCCAGGGCGCCCUCAACCGAGAGGCGGGGUGCCACGCGCUUACGCGGAAUCCAUCUACCGUGAAUGAGGCGCUUAAGUAUAUUGAGUGGCACCAACACGUGCACCGCGCAAUGUACGGGCGUCCCAAGGCAGUGUCUAAGGCUAAUGAAGGGGAGGUCCGUAAGGUGGAACUACCCCAAGGGAACAAUGCAGCCCUUGAGCAAAGGUUGGUGAACCUAGAACGCAAGACCGAUGAACGCUUGGGCCACAUCGAGCGGGAUCUGCAGCGUCUGGGUGGUUUGGAACGGGACCUCAAGAAGGUCCUGGAGGCUAUCCAGACUAGGCCCCAACCAGCGCGUGAACGCGGGAGGUCACCCGGUCGGGACCGGUGCUAUGAGUGCGGCGGGAUUGGCCACUACAGGAACAAUUGUCCUUCGGUCCAGGAAAACAGGGCCAAGGUACAAGUUUCCUUUGUAGGGGACCAGGAGGAGGAAAACUCCAACGGGUCGGAGGAGCUGGCCAGCCACCGGCCCCCACCGCCAGAGGCCAAAUAGAGGGUUCCAAGCUAGCAAGCAGCUCAGAGGGGCCAUCCGUAGGCUCAUCUGAAGGAAUAACAGAGGGCGUGUCGGAGCGCCUGAUAGUCCCAGGGAAUAAUGUAACCGGAAUAGCUACUUAUGUAGAGGCUGCGGCGGGGGAUCCAGUUGGUCCCUCGAACACCCGAAUAUCAGACCUGGGUGAAGCCAUUCUGGAAUCAGUUCCAGAUGCUCUCACAGGGCUUGGGUGUGCAAGCGAGAUUGAAGAGGUAGUGGUAUGUAGGUUGGAGUCGCGCUCUACUCUCAAGGUCUCAGUUGUUAUAGGGGGGCAGCCAGUAAGCGCAGUUGUCGAUACCGCAGCCGAGGUGUCCAUCAUCUCGGAUAGGCUCCUGCAGUCACUGGACCCCCAGCCCCCUAAACUGAGAGGAGUGAUCCUACAUGCAGCGGGACGGGAUAUGAAGAUGAGAGGGACAAUUGUCGGUCCCCUUUCCAUAGAGCUUGGGAACCAGACGUUCUCGGAGGAAGUAUAUGUAGCCCCUAUAGCUGAUCAUAUGCUCCUGGGAUUAGAUUUCCUCAGCAAGCGCAAGGCUGCGAUUCACCUCCUAGAUCCGCAUAUGCAGUUGGGAGGUCAGAGGAUUCCACUUUGGUAUAGUGAUGACCCUGGGCGGCAGAUUGCCCGGGUUCAUUUGCACAAGCAAGUAAUUGUUCCUCCGAAUGCAGUCAAGCGGAUCACCGGCGUUAUAGACCAACGUUUAGGGGAUUUCAUCUUUAACCCUUAGGAUGGCUUACUGCUCCUAGUUCCCGGUUCGGUUUACAGGGCUGGGAAAACAGAACCCAUCUGAUAGGCACCUUAAGGUAAUCUGCUCUGAGGUGUUGGGGGAAACUGAAAAAUUGAAGGGAAGGGAGACGGGAUCGCUCCCUGUUGAAAUAUGGGUUCACCUGGAUCGCGGUUCCUCUACCAAAGUACAGGCAAGCAGCCGUACUAUUGGGGCUAAUGGUUCAACGUGUAGGUGGAGCCAGUCCAGUACAUGUCGGUCAGGGUGAGGCCAGUGGGCGUUACCGAUGGGCAGCUGCCCAUCGACCCGGUACGGGUGGAACAGGAGAAGGAUCCUACCCUGGGUUCACUAGCGAGGUGUGAGGGCUUGUCACCUCGGCCCGGCAGAUAAGGUUUCUCACCCUCAUGGAGCGAGCUAGGAUUAACCAUCUGGCACUCUAUGGGGUGUAGUGAGGAAAAAAAAGGGGACUGGAGGAGAUCUGUCCUCCAUUUUUCACGAAGGGAUUUCGAUUCCCUUUGCAUUUUUUGGGGUUAGGUUAGCGCGUUUAGGACCCUACACGUUUUCUGUACAGGAGGAGACCAGCUGGGUCGCCUCCUCUUGGUGUCUUUUGUGUUCGUUGUCUAUGUUUUCGUCUAUCUUUUUGUAUAUGUAGGCCAUGUAGGAAAUGCUUCAUGGUCCGCUUUGGAGGGGAGUGUUUUAAAUGGCCCUUUUCGCAUAAUGGCAGCGCUGACGCCCCCUUCCUGCACCUGGGGGACCUAGGUUGGGUACUGGUGCUCCAGUCUCUCAACCGAACCGGAAUGCUAUGUGUUGCACAGCCCGGGUAAGAUGGUGCCUCGACAGGGGAGGGCCAGCGGCAGCCCACUGCUAUGGGAAAGUGGAGCUUUCUGGGAAGGGGGGACCCUCCUGGGAUAUGGGUUUUUGUAUGGGUUUUAUAUUUUUAUAUAUAUAUACCAUUGUUCUAUAUGUUUUGUAUGGGUUUUUUAAAGAACCUCAAAACUCUAGGUUUUUAGGUGUUAUUAUGGGUUUUUACCGUUUUCAUGUUACGGGUUUUUAAAGUUUAAAGUGUUGAACAAGUUUUUAGCACAGUUGUGCCAAGUGUUUUGGAUAGUUUUGGAGUUUUUAUUUAUAAAAGAACGGAAUAUGUUUAUGGCUGAUUACGGGUAGCAAAUUAUAAUUAAUUUUGGGAAUGCAGACUUGGGACAGAACAAUGCUGCAUAAGUACUUUUUGCCAAAUUUUAAGGAGCAUUGUGUACAUAAAAGACCAAAGGGAAUUUUUAAAUGGGCUUGUAUUUACUCAUGCCCAGCCGGGAGAUAAGGUCUCCUGGUUGGGGUGCCUAGGGAGUGGAAAAUUUUUUCCUCCCUCUGCCUGGUGUCUGGUUUGGAUAGCGUCCAUUUGGGUUGGAAACUCGAGGGACCGAGUUUUAUAGAACGGGGGGGACUGUUGUAGUAAGUCACCCCACCCCCCAUAUAGGUCUUCCACCGGGAGAUGGCGCUGGACCCCUUUUAGACGCUGGAGGACGUUGGAUCCCUUGGAUCAUCGUAUUUGAAGCUGAACUCACACGGAAUAGACAGGAACUAGGACAUCACUCCAGGAAAAUACUGAUCCAGUGGGACCAAGUUCUUAGCAGUUCACACCUAGUCAGAAGUACAAAAUUGAGAACCAUGCCGAUCAGCAAGUGUUAGUUACAAUCUAAUGAGGAACAGGAUAUCUGAAUGGAAAAAUUGCAAGGUUUCCCACUUCCUAAGCUGUUUAAGUACUGGUAUCACAACAUAAGUGCCAAGAAGAGAUAUGAAACGGUCUCAAAAUUUUUGCUGGUGCCCCCCCCCCCCCCCGAUGCCGUGACCCAAGGUACGCCACUGCAAGUCUUCAUAAAUUGUGUAGGGUUAUUAAGUUGCAUUUAUUGUUAUCUUCAUUUUUAAAAAAUGUGAAAUGGGCUACCACUGCAAUAAUAUAUAAAUAGACUAUAUUUCAAAAAUAGAUUUAAUUCUAAGCACAGUGACAGUAGACAAAUCAAAUUUUGUUAAUGAUUCGCUAAUGUAUUGAUUGGGGAAGGCACUCUUUAGGAUUCUGGCAUUGUGUCCCACCCCCCCCCCCCUUAUGAGGAGUGCUCUCACAUCAGAAGACUAUUUCUUGUCAGCAAAUUUGAAAGGAAUUUACCAAUUUUUUUGAGUGAUAAACUUUUGUGGAAGAAAAUAAACGAAUAUCAAAAGUUUUUAUGCUCUUUUAUGGAAUAUUAACUAUAGGCUCAUCGAGAUCCUUUGAAUGAAAUUUUAACAAACAUUGUACAAUGUAGAAAAAUGUACUUAAUCCUAUUUUUGUACAUUUAUAUACCCACCCCAUACUACCCUUACCCAGUAACAGCCCUUUUUAGCUAUGCAUUGCCUUCAUUUUUUAAAAUACAAUUUAAUGCUUGGUAGAUGCUAAUUAUUAUUUGUAUGUUAAUGUCAAUGUUUUAGAAAAUGGAUUCCUUAAUAAACAUGUUAAUUUUGAAUUGAAUUUUUUGAUCUUGGUAAUUUUCAUUUAUCAAUUAAUUGUGAUGAUGUAUUGCUUCUGAGCUGUUAUGCACAAAUGGCACAAGAUGUUGCACUGUACUGAAAUGUGAUGAUACCACUGUUACAUGAGAUCAAACAGCAGUCAAUUAAAAUAUUAUUCAAGAAAAAUAAGGAUAAGAGUGGGAAAGAAAGUAA
Lytechinus pictus (painted urchin) is the source of this 11226-nucleotide RNA transcript. RefSeq lists it as uncharacterized. The record is from RefSeq and is a predicted model, not a curated record. The transcript has 5 exons. NCBI's taxonomy places the organism in Eukaryota, Metazoa, Echinodermata, Echinoidea, Temnopleuroida, Toxopneustidae.